RNAcentral lists this small nucleolar RNA (119 nucleotides) under Chinchilla lanigera (long-tailed chinchilla). Its description in RNAcentral is "Small nucleolar RNA SNORA26 (ENSCLAG00000019795.1)". It matches the Rfam family "Small nucleolar RNA SNORA26". Rfam says of the family: The snoRNA HBI-6 belong to the H/ACA family of snoRNAs, guiding the pseudouridylation of position U4522 if the 28S rRNA. HBI-6 is the human orthologue of mouse MBI-6 snoRNA. The record is from Rfam by way of RNAcentral. Lineage: Eukaryota; Metazoa; Chordata; Mammalia; Rodentia; Chinchillidae.
GUGCCCUUUCAAGGUUGACGCAGUGCCUUGAGAGGCCAACACAGAAGGGUAGAGGAAGCCUCCAUGAAACCCGGAGAGGGGCCGAACCUCCUCCCCGGAUCCUGUCUGGAGUCACAGCU